GACGAACGCUGGCGGCGUGCUUAACACAUGCAAGUCGAACGGAAAGGCCCUGCUUUUGUGGGGUGCUCGAGUGGCGAACGGGUGAGUAACACGUGAGUAACCUGCCCUUGACUUUGGGAUAACUUCAGGAAACUGGGGCUAAUACCGGAUAGGAGCUCCUGCUGCAUGGUGGGGGUUGGAAAGUUUCGGCGGUUGGGGAUGGACUCGCGGCUUAUCAGCUUGUUGGUGGGGUAGUGGCUUGCCAAGGCUUUGACGGGUAGCCGGCCUGAGAGGGUGACCGGCCACAUUGGGACUGAGAUACGGCCCAGACUCCUACGGGAGGCAGCAGUGGGGAAUAUUGCACAAUGGGCGGAAGCCUGAUGCAGCAACGCCGCGUGCGGGAGGACGGCCUUCGGGUGGUAAACCGCUUUCGCCUGUGACGAAGCGUGAGUGACGGUAAUGGGGAAAGAAGCACCGGCGAACUACGU
RNAcentral lists this ribosomal RNA (467 nucleotides) under uncultured bacterium. RNAcentral's name for it is "partial 16S ribosomal RNA". It matches the Rfam family "Bacterial small subunit ribosomal RNA", at positions 28 to 506 of the family's 1533-position model. The record is from RNAcentral.